CUAUAAGUCGUGGGGCUUCAUUCUCUCAGUCUUUAAGUGGACAGUGCGCAUGCGCUAACUUCCUCUUUUCCGGCUGGAACCAUGGAGGGUGCCGAAGAGAAGAAAAAGAAGGUUCCUGCUGUGCCAGAAACCCUUAAGAAAAAGCGAAGGAAUUUCGCUGAGCUGAAAAUAAAGCGCCUGAGAAAGAAAUGUGCUGAAAAGAUGCUUCGAAAGGCAAGGAGAAAGCUCAUCUAUGAGAAGGCCAAGCACUAUCACAAGGAAUACAGACAAAUGUACAGAACUGAGAUCAGAAUGGCUAGAAUGGCCAGAAAAGCGGGCAACUUCUAUGUACCUGCAGAGCCUAAGUUGGCAUUUGUCAUCAGAAUCAGAGGUAUCAAUGGUGUGAGUCCGAAAGUCCGUAAGGUAUUGCAGCUUCUUCGUCUUCGCCAGAUCUUCAAUGGCACCUUUGUCAAGCUCAAUAAAGCUUCAAUUAAUAUGCUGAGGAUUGUGGAACCAUAUAUUGCAUGGGGGUACCCAAACCUGAAGUCAGUGAAUGAGCUCAUCUACAAGCGUGGUUAUGGCAAAAUCAAUAAGAAGCGAAUUGCCUUAACAGAUAAUGAUUUGAUUGCUCGAUCUCUUGGUAAAUAUGGCAUCAUCUGUAUGGAGGAUCUAAUUCAUGAGAUCUAUACUGUUGGGAAACGCUUCAAGGAAGCAAAUAACUUUUUGUGGCCCUUCAAGUUAUCUUCUCCACGAGGUGGCAUGAAGAAGAAGACCACCCACUUUGUAGAAGGUGGAGAUGCUGGCAACAGGGAGGAUCAGAUCAAUAGGCUUAUUAGAAGGAUGAACUGAGGUGAGAGGCUACAUGCUAGAUAGGUAUAACAAUAAAUGUGGUCUUGAAUUGUUUUCCAUUAAGAAUUGGUUGGGAUUUUCAGUGGGGGGAAUCUUUCUUACAUAGUGAGUUGGUUUAGUUACUCCUUUUGAGGAUUUUUGUGGUUGGAAAGAAGCUGCUCUUGCUAGCAUUUUAUAAUUUGACUUAUAUUCAUUUAAGCUGUUGAAGUUUUUUUGUUAAUAGGUGUUUUUUUUCCCCCUUUCAGGUAUCCUCCAUGCUAUUUUUGUAAUUGGGUCUGUUAAUAAACAGUGAUGCUGGCAA
Molecule: RNA transcript, 1129 nt
Organism: Perognathus longimembris pacificus (Pacific pocket mouse)
Lineage: Eukaryota; Metazoa; Chordata; Mammalia; Rodentia; Heteromyidae
Gene: Rpl7
Gene name: ribosomal protein L7
Exons: 7
Source: RefSeq, a predicted model, not a curated record